Molecule: ribosomal RNA, 254 nt
Filed under: uncultured bacterium
Lineage: Bacteria
Description: partial 16S ribosomal RNA
Rfam family: Bacterial small subunit ribosomal RNA
Source: RNAcentral
UACGGGGGGGGCAAGCGUUGUUCGGAAUUACUGGGGGUAAAGGGCUCGUAGGGGGCCAACUAAGUCAGACGUGAAAUCCCUCGGCUUAACCGGGGAACUGCGUCUGAUACUGGAUGGCUUGAGUUUGGGAGAGGGACGCGGAAUUCCAGGUGUAGCGGUGAAAUGCGUAGAUAUCUGGAGGAACACCGGUGGCGAAGGCGGCGUCCUGGACCAAUACUGACACUGAGUGAGCGAAAGCCAGGGGAGCAAACGGG